UACGGAGGUGGCAAGCGUUGCUCGGAAUCACUGGGCGUAAAGGGCGCGUAGGCGGGGAGGUAAGUCGGGUGUGAAAUCCCUCGGCCCAACCGAGGAACUGCGCCCGAAACUGCUUCUCUUGAGUCCCGGAGAGGAAGGUGGAAUUCCCGGUGUAGCGGUGAAAUGUGUAGAGAUCGGGAGGAACACCGGUGGCGAAGGCGGCCUUCUGGACGGUGACUGACGCUGAGGCGCGAAAGCGUGGGGAGCAAACGGG
This 253-nucleotide ribosomal RNA is filed under the name uncultured bacterium. RNAcentral's name for it is "partial 16S ribosomal RNA". It matches the Rfam family "Bacterial small subunit ribosomal RNA", at positions 524 to 776 of the family's 1533-position model. The record is from RNAcentral.